This 440-nucleotide ribosomal RNA is filed under the name uncultured bacterium. Its description in RNAcentral is "partial 16S ribosomal RNA". It matches the Rfam family "Bacterial small subunit ribosomal RNA", at positions 338 to 795 of the family's 1533-position model. The record is from RNAcentral.
CCUACGGGAGGCAGCAGUGGGGGAUAUUGCACAAUGGGGGAAACCCUGAUGCAGCGACGCCGCGUGUGGGAAGACGGUCCUCUGGAUUGUAAACCACUGUCCCCAGGGACGAAGAUGCCGUUACCUGGGGAGGACGCUCCGGCUAACUACGUGCCAGCAGCCGCGGUAAUACGUAGGGAGCGAGCGUUGUCCGGAAUUACUGGGGGGAAAGGGAGCGUAGGCGGGGCUGAAAGUUGGGUGUAAAAUCUACCGGCUCAACCGGUAGCCGCACUCAAAACUGCAGUGCGUGAGUGAAGUAGGGGCAGGCGGAAUUCCUAGUGUAGCGGUGAAAUGCGUAGAUAUUAGGAGGAACACCAGUGGCGAAGGCGGCCUGCUGGGCUUUGACUGACGCUGAGGCUCGAAAGUGUGGGGAGCAAACAGGAUUAGAUACCCCUGUAGUC